Molecule: ribosomal RNA, 497 nt
Filed under: uncultured bacterium
Lineage: Bacteria
Description: partial 16S ribosomal RNA
Rfam family: Bacterial small subunit ribosomal RNA
Source: RNAcentral
GAUGAACGCUGGCGGCGUGCCUAAUACAUGCAAGUCGAGCGAACAGACGAGGAGCUUGCUCCUCUGACGUUAGCGGCGGACGGGUGAGUAACACGUGGAUAACCUACCUAUAAGACUGGGAUAACUUCGGGAAACCGGAGCUAAUACCGGAUAAUAUAUUGAACCGCAUGGUUCAAUAGUGAAAGACGGUUUUGCUGUCACUUAUAGAUGGAUCCGCGCCGCAUUAGCUAGUUGGUAAGGUAACGGCUUACCAAGGCGACGAUGCGUAGCCGACCUGAGAGGGGGAUCGGCCACACUGGAACUGAGACACGGUCCAGACUCCUACGGGAGGCAGCAGUAGGGAAUCUUCCGCAAUGGGCGAAAGCCUGACGGAGCAACGCCGCGUGAGUGAUGAAGGUCUUCGGAUCUUAAAACUCUGUUAUUAGGGAAGAACAAAGGUGUAAGUAACUAUGCACGUCUUGACGGUACCUAAUCAGAAAGCCACGGCUAACUACGUG